AGGGCUUUAGCUUUAUGAAAGUAUCUGGGUUGCAUUCAGAAGAUAUGGGAUAGAAUCCCGUAAGUCUAA
This 69-nucleotide transfer RNA is filed under the name Megalamphodus sweglesi. Its description in RNAcentral is "Hyphessobrycon sweglesi tRNA-Ala". It matches the Rfam family "tRNA". Rfam says of the family: Transfer RNA (tRNA) molecules are approximately 80 nucleotides in length. Their secondary structure includes four short double-helical elements and three loops (D, anti-codon, and T loops). Further hydrogen bonds mediate the characteristic L-shaped molecular structure. tRNAs have two regions of fundamental functional importance: the anti-codon, which is responsible for specific mRNA codon recognition, and the 3' end, to which the tRNAs corresponding amino acid is attached (by aminoacyl-tRNA synthetases). tRNAs cope with the degeneracy of the genetic code in two manners: having more than one tRNA (with a specific anti-codon) for a particular amino acid; and 'wobble' base-pairing, i.e. permitting non-standard base-pairing at the 3rd anti-codon position. Lineage: Eukaryota; Metazoa; Chordata; Actinopteri; Characiformes; Acestrorhamphidae. The record is from RNAcentral.